UACAGAGGGUGCGAGCGUUAAUCGGAAUUACUGGGCGUAAAGCGCGCGUAGGCGGCUUUGCAAGUCGGGUGUGAAAAUCCCCAGGCUUAACCUGGGAACUGCAUUCGAGACUGCAUUGCUAGAGUAUGGGAGAGGGAAGUGGAAUUUCCGGUGUAGCGGUGAAAUGCGUAGAUAUCGGAAGGAACAUCAGUGGCGAAAGCGACUUCCUGGACCAAUACUGACGCUCAUGUGCGAAAGCGUGGGGAGCGAAACAGG
This 255-nucleotide ribosomal RNA is filed under the name uncultured bacterium. RNAcentral describes it as "partial 16S ribosomal RNA". It matches the Rfam family "Bacterial small subunit ribosomal RNA", at positions 524 to 776 of the family's 1533-position model. The record is from RNAcentral.